CCAGACUCCUACGGGAGGCAGCAGUGGGGGAUAUUGCACAAUGGAGGAAACUCUGAUGCAGCGACGCCGCGUGAGGGAAGACGGUCUUCGGAUUGUAAACCUCUGUCUUUGGGGAAGAAAAUGACGGUACCCAAAGAGGAAGCUCCGGCUAAAUACGUGCCAGCAGCCGCGGUAAUACGUAUGGAGCAAGCGUUAUCCGGAUUUACUGGGUGUAAAGGGAGCGUAGGCGGUAAGGCAAGUCUGAUGUGAAAGGCCAGGGCUCAACCCUGGGACUGCAUUGGAAACUGUUUAACUGGAGUGUCGGAGAGGCAAGUGGAAUUCCUAGUGUAGCGGUGAAAUGCGUAGAUAUUAGGAGGAACACCAGUGGCGAAGGCGGCUUGCUGGACGAUGACUGACGCUGAGGCUCGAAAGCGUGGGGAGCAAACAGGAUUAGAUACCCUAGUAG
Molecule: ribosomal RNA, 445 nt
Filed under: uncultured bacterium
Lineage: Bacteria
Description: bacterial SSU rRNA
Rfam family: Bacterial small subunit ribosomal RNA
Source: RNAcentral